UUUAUGGAGAGUUUGAUCCUGGCUCAGGACGAACGCUGGCGGCGUGCCUAAUACAUGCAAGUCGAGCGAAUGACGAGAAGCUUGCUUCUCUGAUUUAGCGGCGGACGGGUGAGUAACACGUGGGCAACCUGCCCUGUAGACUGGGAUAACUUCGGGAAACCGGAGCUAAUACC
This 173-nucleotide ribosomal RNA is filed under the name Rummeliibacillus sp. TYF005. RNAcentral's name for it is "Bacterial small subunit ribosomal RNA". It matches the Rfam family "Bacterial small subunit ribosomal RNA", at positions 1 to 170 of the family's 1533-position model. Lineage: Bacteria; Bacillati; Bacillota; Bacilli; Caryophanales; Caryophanaceae. The record is from Rfam by way of RNAcentral.